This is a long non-coding RNA of Oryzias javanicus (javanese ricefish), 1954 nucleotides long. NCBI's taxonomy places the organism in Eukaryota, Metazoa, Chordata, Actinopteri, Beloniformes, Adrianichthyidae. The record is from Ensembl.
GAUUAGUUUCUUUAUUUGUAUACGACAUACUGCCUUUUCAAAAAUCUAAAAUUUAAUCUCAGAAAUAUAAAUGAAUAAUAAAAUGUAUCUUUCUGUAUUUUUCAAUCUGUUCCAGGUUGUGUGUCUGCCUCCAUCAGCAGUGUACAAUGGCUGAGGAUCAACCUGGGUUCCUUCUCUGAGUUUGCCUUUGUCAGAGAACUGUUCAAUCUCUACCCAGAGUUCAAUCCUGUACGUUUCUUAAAACACUCGAUAUAUAUUUAUUUAAAAAACGCUGACUGCUCCAACACUUAAUCUACUUAUAAAUGAUCCAUUUCAGUUGGAGGCUCUCAGUGUUCUGAGUCCAAAGCAGAGUGCAGAGCUGCUGGUGCUGAAACAUCCCACUCUGCCAAACACAGACAUCAUUAUCAACAAACUCUUUGAUUAUUUCACUGAAUCCCCAAGAGAGAGGAAGUUUACAGAGUUCCUGUCAUUCCUUGUUGUGUUCCUGGAAAUGGUAAACAAUCUCACCGUUUUAGACGCACUUAUGUUCCUGUGUUUGGUUUGUCAGCAUUGAUCCGUCUGUUCUUUCAUUUUUAAAGGAACCUCUUUCCUGCACAUCAUACAAAACAUUGUAAGUCCUGACCAAAAUGGUUUUUUUUCUAAAUGAAAUUAAUGCAAUACAUAAAAAAAAAAUAUUUGUGUUAUGAUUCCAGAUUUACCCAACUUGACUUUAUUGAAGCUACAGCUUCUCUUGAUGUGGCUUCAUUUAUUCCAAGCAUCAGAGCAAACUUAUCCAAGAACAUCCUGCCUGGUUGUUCCAUAUUCAGUGGGGAGUGCAAUGUUGUCACAGCAAAUGAUUCAAGUGUUUGUAUUGGAAUAAACAGGUAGGUUACUACUUUAGAACUCAAGUCUUUAUUUCUUUUAUAAAUAAACAAGAAAAAAAUGAAUGUGAUAUAUAUUUUUCCUUUACAGCACAGAGCUUCAGCUUCAGCUCGACAUUGGGAAGAUGGACGGCCGCUUCUGUGACUUUCCUUUGGAGGAAUUUGCUUGUGCUUCUGUAAGACUGAAUAGGAAAAAGCAAUUAUUCAAAAGCCAUUGAUGUUAAAAAAGAGAGGUUCAUGCUCAUUUUAUUUUUAUUUUUUUUGUAUACCAGCUUUCAGCAAUAACUGCACAGGACCUGGCAGAGAUAAUGAAGUGUAAUCGAUCGUCCAGCUCAAGCGGGUCCACACAAGUCUGGAAGCUUCUUCUCUUUAAAGCUUCCGAGGUGCUGGAAGAAGCUCUGGAUCUUCUAACAAACUCGGUAUAAAUAUUUAUUGCACUUUUACAAUACUGUAAGAAUUUGUUAAAAGACUGGGAAAAAAAAUAAAAAUAGGAAUGUGCACAUAAUUAUGCAAAAAAAUUAAAAAAAGAUACAAUUAAUUUAACAUUGCCUUACAGAGUGUAUUUUUAUCUGUUAUAGACAAUCAGCCCCAUGAACCCUUCAGCCUCCAUGAUCCUGGACAGCAUUCAAGAACUCAAACUUGACCAAUUCAGCAACGACACUCUGAAUGAUCCGUUGACUCUUCAGCUGUGGUUCAACAGUCGACUUCGUCUGUUCUUACCUGCUGUUUCUAAUGAUUUCCUUUCAUGUCUGGCAACAAAGGAUUUGCUGUGCAGCUCCUACCAGUAUAUGUAAGCACUGCAGGAAAUAUUAUCGUACUUACUGUUCUUUUUAAAAUGCAAUUUAAUAACUUUUACGUUUUUCUUUUUAAUUUCAUUUUCUCAGUGUGCAGGUUUUGAGUCAAGUUCAGCCACAGAUGGCUCUUCCUAAGCAAAUCUCUGUGUACACAAACUUCAUCAAGAUUUACCUGAAAAGAAACAACACUGCAGGUGAGGAUUGUGUUAUAUUUACCCAAAUACUGCCACAGUUUUAAUGUCUUUUUUCUUGUACAGCAGAUUUGUUUAAAUACGAGCAACACAUCUCGUUCUUUUCUCA